RNAcentral lists this ribosomal RNA (438 nucleotides) under Escherichia coli. Its description in RNAcentral is "bacterial SSU rRNA". It matches the Rfam family "Bacterial small subunit ribosomal RNA", at positions 1 to 439 of the family's 1533-position model. Lineage: Bacteria; Pseudomonadati; Pseudomonadota; Gammaproteobacteria; Enterobacterales; Enterobacteriaceae. The record is from RNAcentral.
AAAUUGAAGAGUUUGAUCAUGGCUCAGAUUGAACGCUGGCGGCAGGCCUAACACAUGCAAGUCGAACGGUAACAGGAAGCAGCUUGCUGCUUGCUGACGAGUGGCGGACGGGUGAGUAAUGUCUGGGAAACUGCCUGAUGGAGGGGGAUAACUACUGGAAACGGUAGCUAAUACCGCAUAACGUCGCAAGACCAAAGAGGGGGACCUUCGGGCCUCUUGCCAUCGGAUGUGCCCAGAUGGGAUUAGCUGUGGUGGGGUAACGGCUCACCAGGCGACGAUCCCUAGCUGGUCUGAGAGGAUGACCAGCCACACUGGAACUGAGACACGGUCCAGACUCCUACGGGAGGCAGCAGUGGGGAAUAUUGCACAAUGGGCGCAAGCCUGAUGCAGCCAUGCCGCGUGUAUGAAGAAGGCCUUCGGGUUGUAAAGUACUUUCAG